GUCCGAGCCCCGCAGGGCAGAAUAGCAGCUAACGGCUGCCGAGGGUGACCUUAGGGAAAGUGCAACAGAGAGAUACCGCCACAUUUGUGGUAAGGGUGGAAAGGCGAGGUAAGAGCUCACCGGUCUCGCGGAAACGCUGAGACCCUGUAAACCCUAUUCGGAGCAACGCUGACCGCAGCGAUACACCGGCCCGGUGUGCUGCAACGAGCGGCUGGAGCGCAGGGAGCGAUCCCGCGUCGAGAUAGAUGACCGUCCGCGACAGAACUCGGCUUACCGACCGACUCUA
This 286-nucleotide RNase P RNA is filed under the name bovine gut metagenome. RNAcentral's name for it is "Bacterial RNase P class A". It matches the Rfam family "Bacterial RNase P class A", at positions 50 to 364 of the family's 367-position model. Rfam says of the family: Ribonuclease P (RNase P) is a ubiquitous endoribonuclease, found in archaea, bacteria and eukarya as well as chloroplasts and mitochondria. Its best characterised activity is the generation of mature 5'-ends of tRNAs by cleaving the 5'-leader elements of precursor-tRNAs. The record is from RNAcentral.